Molecule: ribosomal RNA, 305 nt
Filed under: uncultured bacterium
Lineage: Bacteria
Description: bacterial SSU rRNA
Rfam family: Bacterial small subunit ribosomal RNA
Source: RNAcentral
UGCCUACGGGGGGCAGCAGUGGGGGAUAUUGCACAAUGGGGGAAACCCUGAUGCAGCGACGCCGCGUGUGGGAAGACGGUCUUCUGGAUUGUAAACCACUGUCCCCAGGGACGAAAAUGACGGUACCUGGGGAGGAAGCUCCGGCUAACUACGUGCCAGCAGCCGCGGUAAUACGGAGGAUGCGAGCGUUAUCCGGAUUUAUUGGGUUUAAAGGGUGCGUAGGCGGAAUAUCAAGUCAGCGGUAAAAAUUCGGGGCUCAACCCCGUCGUGCCGUUGAAACUGAUGUUCUUGAGUGGGCGAGAAGU